Molecule: ribosomal RNA, 244 nt
Filed under: uncultured bacterium
Lineage: Bacteria
Description: partial 16S ribosomal RNA
Rfam family: Bacterial small subunit ribosomal RNA
Source: RNAcentral
GGCAAGCGUUGUCCGGAAUCAUUGGGCGUAAAGAGCGCGUAGGCGGUCCGGUAAGUCGGUUGUGAAAACUGGGGGCUCAACCCUCAGAGGCCGACCGAUACUGUCGGGCUAGAGUCCGGAAGAGGCGAGUGGAAUUCCUGGUGUAGCGGUGAAAUGCGCAGAUAUCAGGAGGAACACCAAUGGCGAAGGCAGCUCGCUGGGACGGUACUGACGCUGAGGCGCGAAAGCGUGGGGAGCAAACAGG